AACACCACCUGCCAACAUUCAGCCUCCUCUGCCCAUCAGCCUUGCUGACACAGGGAGUGGAGAUUUGUGUAGAGAAAUGACUCAUUCAAAUAUGACUUAAUCUAAACCGUAAGUGUAUGAUUUAUUAAUGUGCCACCAGGCCUUACACCAAGAGAGCCAUUCCAGAGAAAAGUCCUUUUUCUCCUGAGAACAGUGCCAGCAGCUGGCUUCGUGACAUUCUGGAAGCCCCGUGCAAUGCUGUCAGGAGCAUAGGGAUUUUACUUUAUCUCCCUUGCUUAUGCUCCACAUAACUGAAAUAUCUCACUGGAAGCUGCAGCAGUGCUGGCCCCUUGCACAGCCAUAUGUGACCACUGCAGAACAAUCAGUUGGAGAGACAGUUUGGACUACAUGGAGGGUGGAGAUAAGGACAAAGUGAAGAAUACACAGGAACCAGUGCCUCCUCCUGGAACUAUGCAACUCCAAGCUGCUUCCAUCAGCUGCUAGGUCCAGUAGGGAGGGACCUACUGAGAGAAGGUGCCUGCUUCCCUUUCCGCUGUGAUUAGCUAAUUAAAAAUGUGGUGUCCUGGACUCACGAAGCCAGAAUUGCUGAGGAGAUAGCCCGAGAAUCUGAAUUUUUAGCAGACAUUUUUUUAGGUACCUUACCCGCAGGAUCAUUUCUGUGAAUAUCCAUGAGGUGAAAAAGUCUGGGAAACACUGUCCUAGACAGGAAACGCCACGAAGUGUCUGGAUCAAAGAACAGACUAUUGCUCACAGAGCACCUUCAUAGCAUUGUUCCUCAUGCCCCCGUUGCCCAAGGGGAUGGCAGGUUGAGGACCAGAUGUACUUGCAUGUUCAGGGGAUGCAGCACAGAAGAGGAACUCCAAAAUUAUUAUUAUUAUUGUUAUUAUUAUUAUUUUUGAGAUGGAGUCUCGCUCUGUCGCCCAGCCUGGAGUGCAGUGGCGUGAUCUCGGCUCACUGCAAGCUCCGCCUCCCGGGUUCACGCCAUUCUCCUGCCUCAGCCUCCCGAGUAGCUGGGACUACAGGCACGCACCGCCACGCCCUGUUAAUUUUUUUUGUAUUUUUUUUUAGUAGAGACAGGGUUUCACCGUGUUAGCCAGGAUGGUCUUGAUCUCCUGACCUCGUGAUCCACCCGCCUCGGCCUCCCAAAGUGCUGGGAUUACAGGCGUGAGCCACCGCGCCCGGCCGAACUCCAAAAUUAUUAAACUCUGAGCGUCUGCAGGUGACUGACACAUCUGCGCUUCCUUUCUUCCAGGGUGUGGGGAAGAGCGAGAAAAAGAUUUCCGCUCUGGAAGGUAAACAAAUACUCUCUGGAGAGAGAAGAGGAAUGUCCCUAGCAGAUGUCUCCAGAGAAGACAAGACUUUAAAUUCCGCCAGGGAAAUAUACAAUGUCUAACUUCUAAGGCACAUUUGCCAUUCAAUCAUGCUUUAACCCACGUUGCCAGAAAUUUUUGCUCACUAGGUUUUGACUGUACAGGAAUGUGAAAAUAUUCAUGAAGAGUUGUUUUCCAAUGCUAAAGAAUUGAUGUGUUUUAACAGUUGAAUUAAUUGUAUUGAUUAUGAUCACACCUACUUUUUAUAUAUCUUCAUUUCUAACGUUUCUGUACAAUCCUGCCUUUCCACCUGAUAUAGUUAGGCCUUGUGUCAUCAACCAAAUCUCAUCUUGAAUUGUAAUCGCCAUAAUCCCCACGUAUUUAGGGAGAGACCUGGAGGGAGGUGUUUGGAUCAUGGGGGCGGUUUCCCGCAUGCUGUUCUCAUGACCAUGAGAGUAAGUUCUCAAGAGAUCUGAUGGUUUUAUAAGCGUCUGUCAUUUCCACUGCUUGCACUUCUGUGUCCUGCCACCUUGUGAAGAAGGACGUGGUUGCUUCCCCUUCCACCAUGAUUGUGUUUCCUGAGGCCUCCCCAGCCUUGCAGAGCUGUGAGUCAAUUAAACCUCUUUCCUUUAUAAAUUACUCAGUCUCUGUAUUCCUCUGCAGCAGUGUGAGAACAGACUAAUACAUCACCACUUUAUUUACUUUACUCUCUCCCCAUACCGAGGUUUUCUACAUUUUCUUUCUAGGUCUCUACAGUUUCUGCAAAGAUCCUUUAUGGAACUCUUAGGGAAGCUGGGAUGUAUAAUAAAUAAAGGGCUCUUUUCUUUGAGUCCCACACCCAUUUUCUGUGUAUAAAAAUCUUCAACUCCACUUUUGUCUGUUCUAUUUAAAUGUGUGCACAUUUCCUUCUAAUGUUGUAUAUGAAAAAGAGACACCUCUUAGCAGUCUUUCAUAGAGCAAAAUUUUUUACUUUGAUAAAAUCUAAUUUAUCAAUAUUUUUAAAUUUUAUGGAUCAAUCAUGCUUUUGAGGUUGAAUUUAAGAAUGCUUUGCCUAGCCCUAGAUCCCAAGUAUCUUUUAAAAAUUAUUUUUCUAAAUGCAUUAUUUAUGUUUUACACUUAAGUCUAUAAUCCAUUUUGAGUCCAUGUGUAAGAUUUAGGUUAAGGUCAAGAUUUAUCUGUUUUUGUUGUUUUCUCUAUAAAUGUCAAUUGCUCCAGCACUAUUUGUUUAAAAGCCAAUCUUUCCUCCGCUGAGUUCUUCCUAUAAGUUUGUCAAAAGUCAAUUUGGCAUCUUUGUAUAAGUUUAUUUCUGGAUUCUCUAUUCUGUUUUAUUGAUCACUGCAUCUAUCCCUCUUGAUUAGCUAGAUAAUAAAUCCUACAAUAAGGUAGAAUUCUUCCCACUUUAUUCAUAUUCAAAAUAUUUUAAAGCUAUUCUAGUUUCUUUUUAUUUCCAUAUAUAUUUUAGGAUAAUCUUAUCUAUAUUUACAACAUAUGUUGCUAGGAUUUUGAUAGAAUUUGUUUUAAAUUUGUGUAUCAAUGUAGGGAAGACCUGACAUCUUUACUAUUACGUUGAUCUUCCAAUCAAUGAAUAUGGUAUAUCUCUCAGUUUAUAGCUAUUGUCUUUAAUUUAUUUCAUCAUGGUUUUUAGUUUUCAGCAGAGAAGCUUUAUACAUGUUUUGUUAUACAUGUAUAACAAAAGAAGCCUUAUACACUGACAUUUUAUAUUUUGAACAAUUGUAAAUGGUAUUGUUUAAAAAUUUUGUUGUCUAUGAUAGAAAUAAAAUUGAUUUUUGUAGGUUUAUCUUGUAACCUAUGACUUGCUGAGCUCGCUCAUUAGUUUUUUUAUUGUGAUAAAAUAUACAUGAGAUAAAUUUCAUCAUUAUAAUCAUUAAGUUUAGACAUCAAUUGCAUUAAGUACAUAAAUGCCUUAUGCAACCAUCAUCUCUAUCCAUCUCCAGACCCUUUGCAUCACCCUAAAAUGAAACUCUGUGCCCAUUAAACAAUAACUCCCCAUUCUGCCCUCACCCCAGCCCUUGGUAAUUACCAUCCUACCUUUUAUCUCUAUAAAUUUAACCAUCCCAGGUAACUCAUAUAAGUGGAAUCAUGCAGUGUUUGUCCUUUUGUAACUGGUUUAUUUCACUUAGCAUGAUGUCUUCAAGGUUUGCCUAUGUCAUAGCAUGUGUCAGAAUUUCAUCCCUUUUUAAACUUAAAUAAUAUUCCACUGUAGGCAUAUGCCACAUUUUGUUUAUUUGUUCAUCUGUUGAUGGGCAUUUGGGUUGUUUCCACCUUUUGGCUACUGUGAAUAAUGCUGCUGUGAUCAUGGGUAUGCAACUGUCUCCUGGAGUCCCUGCUAUCAAUUCUUGUGGGUAUAUACCCAGAAGUGGAAUUGUUGCAACAUAUAGUAAUUCUAUGUUUAAUUUUUUGAGGACCUGCCAUAAUGUUUUCCACAGUAGCUACAUUGUCUUAUAUUCCCAUUAAGAGUUCCAAUUUCCUCACAUCUUCACCAAUACUUAUUGUUUUCUGUUUUUUUAAAUAAUAGCCAUCAUAAUAAAAGUAACAUGGUAUCUCAUUGUGGUUUUAACUGCAUUUCCCUUUUUACUGGAUUGUUUGUAAUAUUGCUGUAAUUGAGUUGUAGGAGUUUUUAAAUAUGUUCUGAAUAAUUAAUUUCUUAUCAGAUAUGUCAUUUGCAAAUAUUUUCUGCCAUUCUCUGGGUUGUCAUUUCACUCUCUUGAUAGUGUCCUUUGAUGCACAGAAGUUUUGAAAUUUGAUAAAGUUUAAUUUGCGUAUGUAUUUAUUUUGUUGCUUAUGCUUUUGGUGUCAUAUCCAAGAAAUUAUUGCCAAAUUCAGUGUCAUGAAGAUUUUCCCCUGUGUUUUCCUCUAAGAGUAUUAUAGUUUUAACUCUUGCACUUAGAUUGAUCCGCUUUGAGUUAAUUUUAGUAUAUGGGGUAAGACAAGGGCUCAAAUUUGUUCUUUUGUUUGAAGAUUCUAGGUCAUUUGUGAUCUUUAGGAUUUUCUAUGUAGACAUUAAUGUCAUCUUCAAAUAUGAACAGUUUAUUUCUUCCUUUUGUAUAUGUAUGAAUUUACUUUCCUUUUCUUGCCUUAUUGCACUGGCUAGAGUUUUCAGUACUAUGAUGAAUAAAAUCAGUGAGAGCAGACACCCUUGCUUUGUUUCUAAUCUUAGGAGGAAAGCUUUCAGUCUUUCAUCAUUAGGUAUACUGUUAGUUGUAGGCUUAUUAUAGAUGCUCUUUAUCAGGUUGAGGCAGUUUCCUCCUUGGUUAAGACUUUCUAUUUUUCAUUUUCAGUUAUGACCAGGCAUGUUCAUAACUGCUCAUCAAAACUUUGAAUUAGUGGCUGCUUUAACAUCCUUCUCAGACAAUUCUAACAUCUGUUUUGUUGGUGGUGGCAUCUAUCAAUUGUCUUUUUCAUUCUGUUUGAGAUCUUCCUUGCGUUUGGUAUGAUUUUUUUAAAUAUUAUGUCAUGAAACUGCAUCUUAUUUAAAUCUUCUGUUUUAGUUGGCUAUGUCUGACAUCACUUCCCCAGGGGAAGGUGUUGUUACUGCUAGUGGAGGGUGAGAAUUAUGGCUCUCCACUGACAUUGUGGUGGGAUUGGUCCCAUUACCACUGGGCAGGGUUGAAAGUCCUGACUUUCUGCUAGGCCUUCUCUGACUUCAUCGCAGCAGGAGGAAAAGAUGCCUCUGGAGUUGAAGUCAGGUUGCACUGACACUGUGUGUGUAUGGAGGUAGGCUGGGGUGAAAGUGGAGACUCAUUACCACAUGGUGAGUAGUUUCCAGCUCUCUAUUUGGCCUUCUCUGAUACCACCCAGACAGGGACAUUGGGGAUACCUCAUUACAGCCUAGUGAGGGUCAAACUCUAGGCUCCCCACUCAGUCUUUGCUAUCAUGGACACUGUAGGACCAUAGUUUUUUCUGUGCUGUUUGCUUGAUGUGUCUUCCUUGGACCCUGAGUUCCAUAGCUGGUCUGCAUUCCUCUCUCCACCUUUAAGACGUCUUCUUAUGUUUAUUUCAUAUUUAACAUCCAGGGUGGUAAUUAGAGGGAAGAAUAGAGGGAAAAGUACAGUUGCACUUUGUUGUUCAAAGAGCAGUUUUGAACUGCACAGACCCAUUUCUCUGAGCACACCCAGGGAUGAUUGUACUUGUAUAAAAUUUUUUUCCUGGAUGCAGAAUUCUCAAUUGACUGUGAAAGUUCAUAACAAAGAAAACAGUGGGGAAGACAAAUCUGGAAAUGAGGAAAAUAAAAAUUAAAUAGUGAGACCACCCAUGGAGCUUGUGGCAAAGCCUGAAUUGAAUCCGCUGUAUCUUAAGAUUGUGCCUCAUUCUAAAUUUAAGUCACCCUUCUCAUUAUGAAAGUGUCACAACUUCUCAGUAGGUGAGGAGACAGUCUAAAUUUGAGAAAAGAAAGUUACAACAAAGGUUUUGAGCAAGCUGCUAAGUGGAUUUAUUCAUGUUUGAGAAAUCAAAUAUAUGGUUAAUGAGCUCUUUAACUAGAAGCCAACACUAGGGAGGAGUAGACAGAAGUCACGGGGAGGGAGCCCCCGGACAUUUCAAAAGACUUUGCCCUGCAACAUCUCCUCCACAUUUAAGCUUUUAGGUUAUUGUAGCCACAUCACAAGCAUGUUACCUACCCAGAUAUUGUCUGCGCAUCAUUCCCAAAAGCUUCCCUGGGUCUUCAUAAUAUUAAUGAGAUUCUCCCCCAGGUUAGACCCCUUUGGCUUGAGUCAGAAACAGAAUUAAUCCGGGGGACAAUCCAGCAGCACCCAUCUCUGGGUUGCAGAAAUAUCUGAGGUGACCAGGCAGUGUUUGGAGUCCCCUCAGUUAGCUAACAAAGUGAGUUCACAGCUUCCAAGACCCCAGGCUUUCCAGGCUAAUAAAGAGCUGAGGUUAUAGGCUCUCCUUAUCAAACGCUCUUUGGCAGCUGCCAUAACCAUUCCAAGUCUAGUCCUAGAAUAGAAAUGACGCGGUUUCAGGAGCUGACAGAUGGAACUUUAAGCCUUCCUUCCUGCCACAUCUGAAGUUCUUUUUUAAAAAAAUAGAAAACCAUGACAAUAAACACUCCUUGAAUGCCCUGUGGAAAAGUGUACUCCUCAGAAUUCACUAAAGUGGGGUGAAGCAGUGGGUUGUGGUGCUGAGAAAACAUCUCUUCCCCUCGGCAGUAUAUUGGAAUCUCAUAGAAACUUCUGUGGCUGGGAAGCAAACAUGCUCUCUGCCCCAUUGCUCUUAUUCAUCUUUAGACCUGAUAAUACAGUUUGAACUUCAAGUUGCACUUUAAAUGGCAUGCAUUUUUA
Molecule: long non-coding RNA, 6607 nt
Filed under: Homo sapiens (human)
Lineage: Eukaryota; Metazoa; Chordata; Mammalia; Primates; Hominidae
Description: HSALNT0024060
Source: RNAcentral